GACGAACGCUGGCGGCGUGCUUGACACAUGCAAGUCGAACGCUGAAGCUCAGCUUGCUGGGUGGAUGAGUGGCGAACGGGUGAGUAACACGUGAGUAACCUGCCCUCUUCUUUGGGAUAACGCCCGGAAACGGGUGCUAAUACUGGAUAUUCACUGAUUCUCGCAUGGGGGUUGGUGGAAAGGUUUUUUCUGGUGGGGGAUGGGCUCGCGGCCUAUCAGCUUGUUGGUGGGGUGAUGGCCUACCAAGGCUUUGACGGGUAGCCGGCCUGAGAGGGUGACCGGUCACAUUGGGACUGAGAUACGGCCCAGACUCCUACGGGAGGCAGCAGUGGGGAAUAUUGCACAAUGGGCGAAAGCCUGAUGCAGCGACGCCGCGUGAGGGAUGGAGGCCUUCGGGUUGUAAACCUCUUUCGCUCAUGGUCAAGCCGCAGCUUUGGGUUGUGGUGAGGGUAGUGGGUAAAGAAGCGCCGGCUAACUACGUG
Molecule: ribosomal RNA, 482 nt
Filed under: uncultured bacterium
Lineage: Bacteria
Description: partial 16S ribosomal RNA
Rfam family: Bacterial small subunit ribosomal RNA
Source: RNAcentral